UUAAUUGAAACCAAAAUCUAGCGGUUUAUCACUGUUAAUGAUAAAAUUGAGGCCAUCUCCAAUUAAA
This 67-nucleotide transfer RNA is filed under the name Longitarsus ballotae. RNAcentral's name for it is "tRNA-Asn". Lineage: Eukaryota; Metazoa; Arthropoda; Insecta; Coleoptera; Chrysomelidae. The record is from RNAcentral.